Molecule: long non-coding RNA, 6208 nt
Filed under: Sus scrofa (pig)
Lineage: Eukaryota; Metazoa; Chordata; Mammalia; Artiodactyla; Suidae
Description: lncRNA (ENSSSCG00015034665.1)
Source: RNAcentral
CCAGGCUAGGGGUUGAAUUGUAGCUGCAGCUGCCGACCUACACCACAGCCACAGCAACACCAGAUCCAAGUUGCAUCUGCAACUAUGCCACAGCUUGUAGCAAUGCCGGAUCCUUAACCCACUGAGCAAGGCGAGGGAUUGAACGUGCAUGCUCAUGGAUACUAUUCAGGUUCUAAACCCACUGAGCCACAACGGGAACUCCUUUUCAGUAAGUUUAUGAUUGUUUCAAAGAAAUUCUAAGUAUUGUUUUAUGCCAGGACAAAUAUAUCCUAUUGAUGCCAGUGGAAUAUCUGACAGCAAGGCUCCCCUGGAAACAUCAGGGUUUGUGGCUGCCCUAGCCACUGUGGGUAAGACAGAACUUUCCAGAGCAGUUCUUUUGGUUUUUCCAAGACCAGCUGGUCCUUUAUACUUGAAAUUUGGCUUUCUGUCCACCACGGAGCUCUUGUCCUGGGUGACUUACACUUGUUAUCAGCAUGGUUUCUCCAGGCUGGAAAAUCCAUCCUAUGCUUAAGAGAACUUAAAACACAACGGUGCCUCUCCUGUCCAGAGUCUCCUUGCCAGGGUAGUGCUGACACAUCUGCCACCAGGGGACCUCUGUCAACCACGCAGGUGCAUCAGCUCACCAGUCAGAAGUCAAUGCUUCUGAAAGUCGACAAAAUGUUGGUUCUGGGAUUCCAGAAGAAAGCCAUUCCCUCCCUUUCCUUUUUUUCAUUGACAAAAAUAUUAAAUCCGUAUCAUGAGCCAAACCAUACAGGGGACAAGUAGGAAUAAAAUCACAACUCCUCACCUCAAGAAGAGCACCACUUGGGCACUUUCUAAAGACAAAAAAUUUUGUUUUGCUUUUUAGGGCUGCACCCGGGGCAUAUGGAGGUUCCCAGGCUAGGGGUUGAAUCAGAGCUGAUGCUGCUGGCCUACGCCACAGCCACAGCAACAUGGGAUCCGAGCCGUGUCUGUAACCUACACCACAGCUCACGGCAAUGCCGGAUCCUUAACCCACUGAGCGAGGCCAGGGAUUGAACCCGCAACCUCAGAUUCGUUUCCACUGCGCCACGACAGGAGCUCCAAGAAAAAAUUUUUUUAAUUGAACUGUAACAUACACACACGAAAGCACACAAAUCGUAACUGGACUGCUCAGUGAAUUUGCAUAAACCAAACACACCUGAGUCACCAGAACCCAGAUCAAAAAAGAGAACUUGACCAGCACCCAGAAGCAUCACUGCUCUUUCCAACCACUACCCUCCUUCCUGGACCCCCAGCCACUCUCCUGACCUUUAACAAAGCCAAGUUUUACAGAAAGAAGUUCACUUUUAAAGGAGGAAAAUAAAGUACUGGUUUUUCCAGAAUGGAGCUUCCCCUCCUAGGGAGCCAGAGUUACACUGCACUAACACCAUCUGCAUGUGUGUUACCAGAUUCUGCUUCUCUGUAGUGCUACGUGUUGCUGCUUAAUGGAUGGCAACUUGAGCUGUGCCUCCUAUGGACCUGUACAAUAAUUCUCCUGUGAAAGAGUCUCAGCAGAGCUGCUGAAUCUAGCUGCCAGUUGGGCACCCCUGCUGAAAUCCAGCCUGGCCCCUUUGGUCAGACCAGAUAGAACAGGGCAGGGUUCUGUGUGUGCAUCUCACACAAAGGCCUGGUGGCAACCCUGAGUGUGCCAGCUGUUUGGCUGGGGAAAGUGAAUGGAGGGGCAUACUGAGUGUUGUCCUCAGAUCCGAUGGCAAUUCAUGGGCUUGCAUGAGUCUGAGGUAUCCCCAAAGGAUCCUGGCCCCAACUCUUUAAUAGGAAGCCUGAAGAUGCACCCUAAUUUCCCCUGAUGGUGCUGCUCCCUUAGGACUGCUCAAUUCUAGGCAGUAGAUCCCACUGGGUGACGUGUCCUUUUAUUGGUAUAACGAGAGCUCAAGAAGUAGGUAUAUAGACUCAACUAGGCCAGGUAAAGCAUCUUUUUAGAAAUAUUGACCAACUGGAGGGCUGCUGAACUCAGAACUACUGUUGAACUCUGCCCACCCUGAGGGCUACUCAGGGACAAAGUCUAUUCCUCAUUCAGGCUGAACCUCCUUCCCUCACCAACCCCUUCUUCAUAUCCCCCUGCUUUUCCUCUCCUUUUGGUCAAUCUUUCCUUUUCACUUUUCUCUACCUCCCCUCCCUUCCUUUUUCCUCUCACUCUAUAUUAUUUUUUUAAGUCUACAUGCUUUAUUUGGUUAUUUCUCUCUCACUCACUCUUUUUUUUUGACCAUGUUCAUGGUAUGCAGAAGUUCCCAGGCCAGGGAUUGAACCCACGCCCAGCUGUACCAGAGACACAGCAGUGACAAUGCCAGAUCUUUAACACACUGAGCCACAAGGAAACACCUCACUCUAUAUUAUUUUGAAGGGUUCUAGUUGGGUGUCAUCAAUUGUGAUCAUUUGAAGAACAGGAAGAAAGCAAGAAGAUUUUCCCCCAGAGGAAAGGCAGGGAAGAGAAGGACAUGUCUACAGAUGGCAAUGUAUGUCACAUGCCUUUAGCACAUAAAACCUAGAGGCCCAGAAUUCCCAUCACGGCACAGUAGAAACAAAUGACUAGGAACCAUGAGGUUGCGGAUUCGAUCCCUGGCCUUGCUCAGUGGGUUAAGGAUCCAGCAUUGCCAAGAGCUGUGGUGUGAGUUGCAGAUGAGGCUGAGAUCUGGCAUUGCUGCGGCUUUGGCCUAGACCAGCAGCUGUAGCUCCAACUGGACCCCCUAGCCUGGGAACCUCCAUAUACCACGAGUGUGGCCCUAAAAAGCAAAAACAAACAAACAAAACCUAUUGCUUUUGUAGGGAAAGAAACUAUUCUCAUCUACCCAUUUCAUGGUCUCUGACUCGGUCUAAUUAAAGAAUUAGAAUAACAUAGGAUAAACAGGGAAAAAGCAUACAAGUUGCAAUUUUUUUUUUCACUUAUACAUUGGAGAAUUCACAAGAGAAACGAAGAUCCAAUGAAGCAGAUCACUUACAUAUUAAGUCAGACGAUUAGGUUGGAGUACAUUGUGAAAAUAUGACAAGGUAAAGGGGCUUGGGUUAAAGCAGUUAAUCAUGGAGAAGUGACUAGGAGAAUAAGAUGAGCUCAGCAGGAUUUGUUUGAACAAAUUUCUCCCUGUUCCUGGUGAUGAGAAUGUUUCUUUCCUGCUGGUUCAUGGAGGGCAUCUUCCAUGCAUGAGUUUCAUCUCCUGCUUUCAGGAAGAAAAGAAGAAAGUCCUUGCAUAUGUUGGAUUUUUUUGAAUGCCUUUAACGUAAAAUAAUCAAUAUACAAGAGCAGCAUAUUUGGGGUAGUGUGUUCUGAGGGCUUUCAGUACAUAGGAAAUAUUUUUAUGAAGUUUUCCCUUUAAAGAGAAUUUUGAGGAAGUUGCCAGAGGGAUGAGGUACAAGAUAAAGCUCUAUAAUAUUACAUUUGAGGGUGUAAAGAAUUUAGAGGCUUCUGAAAAGUCAUCCAACCAGGUGCCUUCAUUUUACAGAUCAGAAAGUAGGUCAGAGAUGCUAAUCUGAUUUGCCUAAAGUCGCACAACUGGUGGCAGAAACCCACAUCUGCAGUCUCCCAAAUCAGUGCUCUUUUCCUCAUGAUGGUUCUUGUAAAAUGGAAAAAUACACAAAUCAGCUUCAUCCUAGGUAUCCUGUGUAGUGGCAAGCUCCAGUAAGUUGAUAAAGUAAGAAUUACAGCAUUAUUUGUGAAAGCAUCCAUGAGAACUAUUCCAGCCUUCAGAAAGCACAAUACAAAAGAACCCUCUCCUUUACCACCUUAAAUUAUGGGCAGCACAUUUUGUGAGGUUUCCAUAACUUACUUGUUGAAACUUUACUCAGGAGUCCAGUCUUUUGUCUUCCUGUGGUUUGUUUGAAAUUCAUUAUCCUCUUUCAUCCCUUUCUCUUCCUCCCUUUCUCCACCCUUCCACUCCACCCCUGUCUCAUGUCAAAUCUGAAAGAUCUUAGAGGGAAAUAUCACAGUCACCAAGGACUUAUCAUCAUCACCAAGAUUGAUCCCAUAUGGUGUCUACAAAGAUGAAGGGUGAGGUUACAGCUCUCGUGUACGCCACAGGCACGAUGUGGGAACCGUCUCCUACUCUCCAUGCCCUGUCCCUGAGAUGAGCUCAACCUGUUGGAACCAAGAAUUUCUACUCUCCUGGCUUCAAGAACUUCUAGCCAUGCUUUUUCCAUUUAUUCAACUGUGUUUCAAGAGCAACAGGAUUCAGAGGUUUGAAAAGCUUUAAAAAAUACAUUUCAUCUGAUCCUGUGCCUACAGAAUUCGGGCUCUGAUUUACCUUUGAGUUCUUGCUGACUUGUACUAAGGCAAUUGUUCCUUUUGUGCUUAUAAAUUAUAUUUGGAUUUUGUUUUUCCUCUCGUUUGUUUAGUUUCCAGAAUAGAAGAAAUCUCAACUCAGGCUCUAAUUAAGCGCCAGUACUAAUCUGUCAUUUGUUUCCAAGAUGUUUGAAGAGAUGUCUCACAGAGUUCUCCCCUUUCAAGCUAGCUUCUCAGAAUGUCCAUGGAGAUUUCCAGAAGCUUCUUCCAUUAGCCAUGUGUGAUGUGGAAUGUGAAGGUUCCCCCCUGGGUGAUGUGCUACAAUGGAGGCAGAGUGGUAAGAGUGUAAGCUACAGGAAAUUGAAGGCUAGGGUGGCAUCCAGCCAAUUCCUCCACAUUAUCCCUAUGGCAUUGGUUCCAAAAGCAUCUUGUCCUCAACUACAGAAUGGCAACUAUGACUGAUGUUUUGAGUUUGUUUCUUUUCUAUUUUUUUUUUCUUUUAUGGGCUGCACCUGCAGUAUAUGGAAGUUCCCAGACUAGGGGUUGAAUCAGAGCAGCAGCUGCUGGCCUACACCAUAGCCGCAGCAAUGCAGGAUCUGAGCCACAUCUGCAACCUAUACCACAGCUCACUGCAAUGCCUGAUCUUUAACCCACUGAGCAAGGCUAGGGACUGAACUGCAUCCUCAUGGAUACCAGUCGUGUUAGUAACCUGCUGAGCCACAACAGGAAUUCCUUGAGUUUGUUUCUUUUAAAGAAAGAAGUGACUUACUGUUUGGUUUCUUCCUAAGGUCUUUGUUUCUCUGGCUGUGUUUGGAGAAGCCAGGAGAGCCUGGCUAAAAAAAAAAAGAAGAAGAAGAAGAUCUGCCUGGCUCUACUAACUGCUUGCUGAGUUACCCGAGUAAUAUGGCUCAUGCCAACAGCCACACUAUUGAAGAGCCAGCCAGCAGUGGACAUGAAAGAGAAAGGGCACAUAAAAGCAAUUCUGCUCUAGUAAACUGUUUCAUGGCAUUCACGGGGAGGAAAGACAACUCAAAAUACAACCUUAAAGUGUGCUCAGCAAGAAACAAACUGACUACUGGGGGCCUUUGGAACUUGGCUCUGAUGCAAAGCUCAAUUAUACAUUGAAGUACUGAGUUACUGAAAGCCAGGCAGCGGGGAAUAGGCCCUCUCGCUCUAUAGAAUGCAGCUCUGAAAAAGAUUUAUCACGCAGCUGAUGCACUUGCCACAUGUUGAGGACUUAAUUUAAUGAAUUCUCUCCCUUUUUUUCCUUGCUGAAGCAAAAAAACAAAACAAAACAAAACAAAAACAUCAUUGCGGUGGUGGGAAAAUGUUUGCAAUAAUUUUAAGAUAUGUAAGAUUGCCCAAGAGGCAUAUCAUAUUUAGACAGUUUCAGAAUUUCAUUAAUCCACCUUUAGGAAUGUGUUAUCUUACAGACUGUACUUGUAUACAGUACAAAGACAGCCAAUUCUUAAAAGACACUGAAGAGCAAUCCUCUUUUUCCAACACGCUCUUCACAUGUCUCUAGUUGUUCAAGUACAGAAAAGUAACUUAUUAGAUGCUCAGCUCCUGGCUUUUUAUCCAGACCUCCUUCUGAAAACAAGCAAGUUCUUCAAGAAUAGAGUUUACAUAAGGUAGGAUUUGGGACCAGACAGUAUAUUAAUCAAUUGGACAGAAGUGGUACCUAUUCAUUCCUCCUUAUUAGAUGUGAUAUACAAACAUCUAUUCCAAAGAUAUAAAGUAUAUAUCAUGGAGUGGAACUGUCUUUGUGGGGUAGGCCAGGAACACUCCUGUGACAAAUUUCCCAAGAUGACCAUUUAAAGCUGUUUCCUUUACCUAAACAUUAAAUAAGAAUGUCACUCUUUUUAAGGCAAAAGCAUCUGUUAUCUAUGAGCCCCUGGGUUUUGAGCUAAGUGCCACUGUUCACCUGUUGAUUUUUUUUUUUAAUCUGCUGGAACAUGAUCUCUGACUAUCUUAUGG